Molecule: ribosomal RNA, 253 nt
Filed under: uncultured bacterium
Lineage: Bacteria
Description: partial 16S ribosomal RNA
Rfam family: Bacterial small subunit ribosomal RNA
Source: RNAcentral
UACGGAGGGCGCAAGCGUUGUUCGGAAUCACUGGGCGUAAAGCGCGUGUAGGCGGCCGGGCAAGUCGGAUGUGAAAUCCCGAGGCUCAACCUCGGAACUGCAUUCGAAACUGCUCGGCUCGAGUCCCGGAGAGGAUGGCGGAAUUCCCGGUGUAGGGGUGAAAUCCGUAGAUAUCGGGAGGAACACCAGUGGCGAAGGCGACUACCUGGCCUGUUCUUGACGCUGAGGCGCGAAAGCUAGGGGAGCAAACGGG